RNAcentral lists this ribosomal RNA (253 nucleotides) under uncultured bacterium. RNAcentral's name for it is "partial 16S ribosomal RNA". It matches the Rfam family "Bacterial small subunit ribosomal RNA", at positions 524 to 776 of the family's 1533-position model. The record is from RNAcentral.
UACAGAGGGUGCGAGCGUUAAUCGGAAUUACUGGGCGUAAAGCGCACGUAGGUGGCUAUGUAAGUCAGGUGUGAAAUCCCCGGGCUCAACCUGGGAACUGCACUUGGGACUGCAUGGCUAGAGUAUGGGAGAGGAAGGCGGAAUUCCCGGUGUAGCGGUGAAAUGCGUAGAUAUCGGGAGGAACAUCAGUGGCGAAGGCGGCCUUCUGGCCCAAUACUGACACUCAGGUGCGAAAGCGUGGGGAGCAAACAGG